Molecule: ribosomal RNA, 253 nt
Filed under: uncultured bacterium
Lineage: Bacteria
Description: partial 16S ribosomal RNA
Rfam family: Bacterial small subunit ribosomal RNA
Source: RNAcentral
UACGUAGGGGGCAAGCGUUGUCCGGAAUCAUUGGGCGUAAAGAGCGUGUAGGCGGUCCGGUCAGUCGGUUGUGAAAGUCCAGGGCUCAACCCUGGAAUGCCGGUGGAUACUGUCGGGCUAGAGUCCGGAAGGGGCGAGUGGAAUUCCUGGUGUAGCGGUGAAAUGCGCAGAUAUCAGGAGGAACACCAAUGGCGAAGGCAGCUCGCUGGGACGUGACUGACGCUGAGACGCGAAAGCGUGGGGAGCAAACAGG